AGCUCUGUAAGCGUAUAUCAAAGUUGUUGCAGUUAAAACGCUCGUAGUCGAACCUUGGCGGGUGGCGUGGUGCAUCCGAGAGGGUGUUUUGCCGCGUUUUUAUGUUAACCCGCCUUCGUGGAUGGCGGCUUGGUGGUGCUUCAUUGCCUCGCCUUGCUCCGCUGCCACCGUUUACUGUGAAAAAAUUAGAGUGUUCAAAGCAAGCGAUUGCCCUGAAUACAUUAGCAUGGAAUAAUAGAAUAGGACCUGGUCUUAUUUUGUUGGUUUUGUUGAGUUCAGGUAAUGAUUAACAGGGACGGUCGGGGGCAUUUGUAUUCCUUGGCGAGAGGUGAAAUUCUUAGACCCUUGGAAGACAACCAGCUGCGAAAGCGUCUGCCAAGGACGUUUUCA
Molecule: ribosomal RNA, 390 nt
Filed under: uncultured eukaryote
Lineage: Eukaryota
Description: partial small subunit ribosomal RNA
Rfam family: Eukaryotic small subunit ribosomal RNA
Source: RNAcentral